AGGUGCAAGUGGGCCUAGAAGCCCGAGGUGCAUUGCGAGUACCGCAGAGUGUCUGCGUCCAAUCCGAGCGGCUCCGAAUCCAAAUUGAAUCCGACCCACACUUUUCACGCCCAGGAUAAGAUCGGGUUCGAGAGGAUCCCAAGUCCAAUCAAAAUGAAAUGGAUCUAAUCUAACGGAAAUCUGAACCAAAAUGGAUCUAGACUUGG
Molecule: long non-coding RNA, 206 nt
Filed under: Elaeis guineensis (African oil palm)
Lineage: Eukaryota; Viridiplantae; Streptophyta; Magnoliopsida; Arecales; Arecaceae
Description: long non-coding RNA (EGUI_LNC005594)
Source: RNAcentral